CCUACGGGAGGCAGCAGUAGGGAAUUUUCCACAAUGGGCGAAAGCCUGAUGGAGCAACGCCGCGUGGGUGAAGAAGGUCUUCGGAUCGUAAAACUCUGUUGUUAGAGAAGAAAGUGCGUGAGAGCAACUGUUCACGUUUCGACGGUAUCUAACCAGAAAGCCACGGCUAACUACGUGCCAGCAGCCGCGGUAAUACGUAGGUGGCAAGCGUUAUCCGGAUUUAUUGGGCGUAAAGGGAACGCAGGCGGUCUUGUAAGUCUGAUGUGAAAGCCUUCGGCUUAACCGGAGUAGUGCAUUGGAAACUGGGGGACUUGAGUGCAGAAGAGGAGAGUGGAACUCCUUGUGUAGCGGUGAAAUGCGUAGAUAUAUGGAGGAACACCAGUGGCGAAGGCGGCUCUCUGGUCUGUAACUGACGCUGAGGUUCGAAAGCGUGGGUAGCAAACAGGAUUAGAUACCCGUGUAGUC
RNAcentral lists this ribosomal RNA (465 nucleotides) under uncultured bacterium. RNAcentral's name for it is "partial 16S ribosomal RNA". It matches the Rfam family "Bacterial small subunit ribosomal RNA", at positions 338 to 795 of the family's 1533-position model. The record is from RNAcentral.